This 148-nucleotide non-coding RNA is filed under the name Pongo abelii (Sumatran orangutan). Lineage: Eukaryota; Metazoa; Chordata; Mammalia; Primates; Hominidae. The record is from Rfam by way of RNAcentral.
GCCGGGCGUGGUGGCAUACGCCUGUAAUCCCAGCUACUCCAGAGGCUGAGGCAGGAGAAUCGCUUGAACCCGGGAGGCGGAGUUUGCAGUGAGCAGAGAUCGCGCCACUGCACUCCAGCCUGGGUAACAGAGCGAGACUCUGUCUCAA